CAGGACUCGCAAGACUCCUACAACCCUGUGAACUUAACUAUAAGCACGUUGCUUCGGCGGGUGUCUCGGCGAGGGGUCUCCCACUGGCCCUGCGGGGGCGCUAAGCCCGCCGGCAGCCUACUAUACUCUGUCUCUUUGCGUUGGCAUCUCGAGUACGAAUCAAACAAGUUA
This 171-nucleotide unclassified non-coding RNA is filed under the name soil metagenome. RNAcentral describes it as "partial internal transcribed spacer 1". The record is from RNAcentral.